UAAAAACCGGGAUAAAACGACAUUUUCUAAAAAUGAAUCUUAGCUACCUACCUAUAUCGCACUUUAACACAUAAGGAGCACUUUAUUUCUCAUCUCAAUUUACAAUCAUCUACUUAAUGAAUAUGUAGUACCACAAUUUCCCGACAAAAAAAAACAAGACAUAAGCUGUGCUUAUGUCUACACACAUUAAGCUGACGUAUAUCUACGUGCUAAUUAAUACAAAUGCGAAUGUAAUUUUGUGUACGUUCGGACUAUUUUUCGAUGAGUUACAAGUUUAUUAGAAUAUUUUUUUAAAGUAAUGAUUCGAAAGGUUAUUUUUCAAUAAAUUUUGUUACGUUUU
This is a long non-coding RNA of Melitaea cinxia (Glanville fritillary), 340 nucleotides long. RefSeq lists it as uncharacterized. NCBI's taxonomy places the organism in Eukaryota, Metazoa, Arthropoda, Insecta, Lepidoptera, Nymphalidae. The transcript has 2 exons. The record is from RefSeq and is a predicted model, not a curated record.